Molecule: long non-coding RNA, 799 nt
Organism: Oreochromis niloticus (Nile tilapia)
Lineage: Eukaryota; Metazoa; Chordata; Actinopteri; Cichliformes; Cichlidae
Exons: 2
Source: RefSeq, a predicted model, not a curated record
AAGAGAAAAUUGUAUAUAUGUGAUCAGCUACAUGAAAUGUAUCCUUUCAUUAUUUGUGAUUAAGCAUAUUUCUACAUGACUUUUUACCUAGUAACUUGUGUGCUGAACUUAUGCAGAUACUAACCGCAUCCUGUCGUUCUGAACAUUUAGAUGUAGAGAAGACCAAGCUCAGCUCUUUUACGAGAACAUACAGAUAGAGAAAAGGGAAAAACCCGCUGCCUUGACUGAUGUUAUCUUCACACACACACACACACACACACACACACACACACACACACACACAAAACAUCUUGUAUAAAUAAAGGACGCGGACAGUCGUGGGGCGCAGUUCGUGCGUUCCAUGACUGCCCCUCGCGAGUGAAAAACUUCUGCAGUGUUUGUGUGUUUUCUGACUCAGACGUCUCAGCUGAAGAAUGGCAGGGUGAUUUAAAGAAAUCCUCUGUCAUUUAAAUUGGUCCUUCGAACCUAGCGAUGGAAACAAGCAGACACGUUUCUGUGACUCCAAUAAGGUCUGACUUCUGCAUCCUGACGCCGUGGGUAAACCAGCACCGAAGUCUGUCGACAGCCCUCUCCAGGUAGAGGUGAGAGUCCUGGGCGUAAAUUCGCAUCCAGGCCGGUCCUGGUCCACGACGCUGGGAUCCAGAUGACCUGAAGAACCAGCAAAAGACGACUGAGGGUGAGAAAACACUUUUUGGUUUUAAACCGCCGGAAGGGUUUAGAAGAAUGCGCAAAAUAGGUUAGAAGUAGCCGGAAUUACUUCAGGAAAUGCGCAAAGGUUGGAAGUAGCCGGAAUUACUUC